AUUACCCAGCAAGCUAAACACACAGAGCUGAACUAAAAUUGACUUCUCUUUGGGCAGAGAAACAAAGCAGGUCAGGAGUAAUUGUGCGGCAUGAACACAAAUACAAACAGAAAAUGAAUGCCAUGGAGGAGCACUGAAAACAAAUAAGAGUAAACAUUCUAAGCCUACAGACCAAUCAGCUCCUCCCACUGUCUCUUUGUGGAGGCUGUAGUAGCACCCAAAUCUCCAAGCACAGGAGACAAGGGAAGGAAGUGAACGUGGCCUCCAAACCUCCAAGCACAAGAGACAAGGGAGGGAAGUGAACGUGGCCUUCAAAUCUCAACAACUGUGGUACCCUGACUUCCCGUAACGAUUACUGACUAGCUGCUGUUUGGCUUCAAGACAACAAAAGCUCCUUCAAGGUUUAAACUCAGGAGAUCACCAAAAAUCAAAGCUCCUUAGUUGUUUUUUAAAUUCUAAAGUGGGAAUUUUGGAAUUUAAUUUACCCUAUUUACUCGAAUGUAACUUUUGACUUCUCUCUACUGAAAUGCACAAAAACAAACAAAAUUUAUGUGUGGAUACAGAGACAGGAGACUGGCAGUGCCAUUUUUGGCUAUUUAGUAAAACAUCUUGUAUUGAUAGAGCUUGCAUUGAUAUUUUCUCACAUGAUUAAUUUGGAUGUUUAAGCGUUCACAGUUUCAUUUAAUAAACAUAUCCCCCCUGACAAAUUGAUAAUUCAGCCUUCAAUUAUGCAGAAUUCAGUAAGUCUUAUCUGUGUAAUCCAUCAGUAUUUGAUUUACAAACAGAAAAUUUCUUAAUCCAUUUGCCCUUGUUUGAACUGGGUUUGAUAACUUAGUUAUGACUAUCUUCUUCACUUUGUGGCACACAUCACAUAGUUAUUCUUGGAUAGAUACAGUCACUGACGCAACCAUGAACCGCUAAUUACAAGCUGGUGACAUUCUGCUUGUCUAUGCAGCUUUGAAGUUCUAAGGCUGUUUUUCUCUUGUGCGCUUGCUCAGUUUCAUUCUCUUCUCCUCAUGCCACCCACCCCCAAUCACUUACUCCCUCUUUCCUCUUUUCACUUUAAAGCCUUUCUGGAUUCACUCUAGGACUAUCUGGAGAAAGAGGCAAGAAUGAUCAGAUUCUGUAACUUACUGCUUUUCCUUUCCUUCUGUACUAUCCCUGCACACAGAUCUCCAGUUUGAAAGUACAGUAAUAAGAUCCUCACCCAGCCCCACCCGCAGGAAUGCAUCAACAGCUGGCCAAACAUAAUCCAACACACAGAGCUGCCUUUGUAGAAUUAGUAACAAACAGUGGAAGGGCCAGACAGGCGUCCCAGAAGAGCUCCCCAUGACAACUGGGAAAGCUCCUCACCCCCAGAGUUGAGCUGAUUCCACUGAGCUGGGGUUGGAGAACCCCAGCUCUCACAUCUGAAUCUACAACAAGCCUCAAGUGCCUGCCCUCAACCUCACUAGAAGCUAUUCGGAGGGCAUUCGGCUCUCCAUAACAGCAAGUUAGAAGCAAGCAUUCUCCAUACCGACAACAGCCAUACUCUGCCUCAUGGCACAUGCCUUUUGAAAUGCAACACUGCAAAUCUCCAAAUCACAUGAACAGCAUUUACACCUGUACCUAACCAUCUUAGCUGUGAGCUGGUAGGACCACCUCUUGUCCUUAGAAAAUAAUUUCUUUUUGCAAAUUAUAGGCUGAUCCCGGCAUUCUGAAACAUGUAAAUAUAACACCGUAUUCAUCGCCACUGAGCAUUUAGCAUCUGAAGCCUGUGGUAGCCAGCUGGUCUCAAAGUCAUCUGGGAUACAUUUAUUUUGAUUAAAUUGAUCAGAUUUCUAUUUACAGGAUAGAAUUUUUUGCCAUUACUGAAUACAGCUGUGUUUAUAGGGAUUUGUAGAAGAAGAAAACAAAACCCCACAAUCGGUCCUAGCAAAGCACAGAGCAUUCAGAACUGGAAGGAGUUAAAACAGAGGGGGCUUGCUUUCACAGUAGAAAGAAAAUUCUGCAUGCAGCUGCUUUGGCCAUGCUGUCUCACUAGUCAGGAAAUGGGUGUUGAACCGGAGCUGAAAACACAAGCUGCAAUCAAGCCCGAUCCAGCAAAGUGACAGACUUCCUGUGUAAAAUGGUCAGAAACCUUUUUUCAUGUCUCUACAUGCAUGCACAUGCAUUUAAAUCCAUGCUGCGAGGCUGCGAUUUUCUCUGGGGACACUGGUACAGUCACCUAGCCCAUCAGUUCCUUCGUUGACAGCGCCGGGGACAUCCAGACUACAAUUUACAGUUCCUCUAUCCAUGUGCUGGGUUAGAAAUUAUGCCAUCCUCCCUAGAAUGAGAAUGCACAGCAAGCGGCAGACAAUCACCCGGCAUUCGGCAUCUCUCUCUUUCCACGCGCUCCCUCACUCCGCCUUUCUCCAGCUCUGCCUUCACAAGCAGAUACAUCAGAUACCUUGUUUAUCCAUCUUCAGCUCCACUCUGAGGGCGCAGACGCACGAUUCCGGGAUCGGGUGCACCACGGCGAAGCCCAGGCGGGAGACGGCAGGAGCGGCUCAGAUGAGGAAACUGAAACCCCCCAGAGAUGAAGCAACAUCCUCAAGAUCAAAAAGGUAACAAACGAUUGAGGCAGGAUUCAGAUAUUGUUCUACAUGACGGGAAAGGCUGUGCUCUUGGAAUUACAGUCAUAGUACAACAGAUCAAGUUCAAAGCAUCAUCUAAGUCAAGAAAAAACACUAAAGAGGUUUGGAGAGACAAACAGGGUCAACUCCAGGCAUCUGGGUCAGCAGAAAAGGCACCAUUGAGCAGCACUGAGACUGUAGGAUCACGGCUCAGAGGCUGCUUCCUCUUUGGUUCUGGGCAUCAGCCUCAGGUCCACUCAAAGUGAAUGGCCCCUCUGACUGGAAUCUGAGGUGCCUGGGUCAUCUCAUCUCACAGAGCCAAACAAAUACAAUUAGCUGUUGCAAAGCCUUUUGGGAAUUAUUCCCAGUGUAAAUAAACACAUAACCAUAUAGCAAGAGCCUUGAUAAAGUCCAAAAACAAGCGAACUUGGAGUAUCUAAGAGAAAAGACCAGAAUGUAAAUGAGAAACCAAAUAAACUGGGGCAAACUAUGGGAUAGGGCCCUGUCUGUGAUGGCCUGCAUAUGAUGAGCCAUAGAAAAAGGAUGGUGAAUUCUGGAUAAUAAGAAAUGUCAAUGAGAUGGAAGAACCACCUGUUUUAUGUAAAGCUCCAAAUAACCAGAUCACACUGGACAGCCACUCAAAUAAUGCCUUCAUAAUACAGAGUAUUAUUGAGAAUAACUCAAUUCACAGAGAGCUUAAGGCAGCCAAUAUUUGAUAGCCUGUCAGAAAAAAACAGAACAGUAAUUACAGAAAAGAAUCAUAUCCUCAGAAAAACAAAAAUUAAUCAAACUGAGUUUGUAAAGUCUAUCUUACAGACACAUUGUCUGGACUGGUCCUCUCAAAAAUACUGGUUUUUUUAUGCCAAUUUGUUUAGUUAAUGAUUUUUGUCUUAUUACUUCAAAACUGGAAAUAUCCUAUGACUCAUAACCUCUUACAACCUUUCUACUUUCUUAAAGAAUCUCAAGUUUAUAAUCACAGGGGAUCGGAUUUUUUUUUCAAAACUUAAACGAUGAUGUAACUAUUUCUGUGUCUAUUGUAGAAAAAUCAACCUUAUUACAACUGCAACAAUGGCAUUAAGAAAUAUGAGUAAUUCCAAUCAACUUGAGAUAAUGUCUAAUCAAACACAAAUACAACUGAUAAAUUUCAUUAAAUAGCAUGGAGAUUAAAUUAAAACACUAUUAUGUAAUAAAAACCUUUAGUGGUACUAAAAUUUUAGAAUAGUUCAGAUAUACAGAAAAAUUUCAAAGAUAUACAGAGUUCCCAUUUUUUUCCUAUUAUUAACCUCUCAUAUUUGUCACAGCUAAUGAAUAUUCAAUACAGUAUUAUUAACUAAAGCCCAUACAUUUAUUCAGAUUUCCUUAGUUUUUAGCUAACAUUCUUUUUCUUUGUUCCAGGAUCCCAUCCGGGCCACCACAUUGAAUUUAUUUGUCAGUCAUUUUAGGUACCGCUUGGCUGUGAGUUUCUCAGACUUUCCUUGUUUUUGGUGACCCUGACAGUUUGAGGGAGUACUAGUCAGUUAUUUCUGUAGAAUGCCCUAAAUUUGAGUUUGGCUGGUGUUUUUCUUAGGGUUUGACUGGGGUUAUGGGUUUUGGGGAGGAAGACCACAGAGGUGAAGUACCAUUCUCCCCAAAUUAAAUUAAAGGCACAUACCAUCAGCAUGCCUUAUACUACUGAUGUGAACUCUGAUUGCCUGGCUGUGGUAGUGUUUGUCAUGUUUCUCCACUGUAAAGUUACUCUUCUCAUCACCCAUUUUUCUGUACUGUACUCUUUGGAAGAAAGUCACUAUAUGCAUCCCACAUUUAAGGAGUGGGAAGUUAUGCUCCACCCAUUUGUAAGCAGAAAAUCUACAUAAAUUGUUUGGCAUUCUUCUGCAUGGGAAAAUUAUCUCAUUCUCCCAUUUAUUUAUUUGAUUUUUUUUAUAUCAGUAUGGACUCAUGGGUAUUUCUUUUAUACUUUGGGUUACAAUCCAAUACUAACAUAAUAAAGAAAUUUUUAAUGGAGAU
This is a long non-coding RNA of Nomascus leucogenys (northern white-cheeked gibbon), 4598 nucleotides long. RefSeq lists it as uncharacterized. The transcript has 3 exons. The record is from RefSeq and is a predicted model, not a curated record. Lineage: Eukaryota; Metazoa; Chordata; Mammalia; Primates; Hylobatidae.